RNAcentral lists this transfer RNA (73 nucleotides) under Saccoglossus kowalevskii. RNAcentral's name for it is "tRNA-Val". It matches the Rfam family "tRNA". Rfam says of the family: Transfer RNA (tRNA) molecules are approximately 80 nucleotides in length. Their secondary structure includes four short double-helical elements and three loops (D, anti-codon, and T loops). The record is from RNAcentral. Lineage: Eukaryota; Metazoa; Hemichordata; Enteropneusta; Harrimaniidae.
GUUUUCAUAGUGUAGUGGUUAUCACGUUCGCCUCACACGCAAAAUGCCCCCGGUACGAACCCGGGCGAAAACA